AUCGCCGCCAGCUCGUUGUUGCUUGACCUGCGAAGUAUUUCCAGCAUUUGCUGUUCGGAUCACAGGGGAUGUUUCACCGAUCUGCGUUGUGCAAAGCCACCAUUACCCCGAGCGUUAAUUAUUACGGUGUUGACAGUCGAGACGGUAGUUGCACGCUCGCCUGAAUCAAAACAUUGAGGUUUCAGUUCCGACUCCAAUGAGUUGAGCCUGUGAUCCGAGUUGACACUCGAAAACGUUGAUGAAGAUGCAUGACCCUCAGAGAAAUGAACAGUCUUUGAUUUUUAAGCAGUGACCUCAAAUGUCCAAGUCUCCCAGGAGGGGAAACAACCGCUCCACAUCAACCCUGUCAAGGCUUUCAAGAUCUUAAAUAAAACGAAGAACUGUGGAUGCUGGAGAUCUGAAAUAAAAAUAAAAACAGAAAUUGCUGGCGAAACUCAACAGGUCAGGCAGCAUCUGUGGGAAGAAAUCCGAGUCAAUGUUUCAAGACUGCUGACUGUUCAUCCAGAACUCUUUAUUCCUAUAAUGUGGUGACCAAAACUACAUGCAGUAUUCCAGUUGUGGUCUAACCAGCAUUUUAGACACUUUCAGCAUAACCUUCUUCAUCUUAAGGUAUUCUGUGCCUCAGCUAAUAAAGGCAAGCAUCCCACAUGUCUCUAACCAACUGGACCAUCUCUAAUAUCUCUCUCU
This is a long non-coding RNA of Rhincodon typus (whale shark), 687 nucleotides long. RefSeq lists it as uncharacterized. The transcript is spliced from 3 exons. The record is from RefSeq and is a predicted model, not a curated record. Lineage: Eukaryota; Metazoa; Chordata; Chondrichthyes; Orectolobiformes; Rhincodontidae.